This is a non-coding RNA of Ciona savignyi (Pacific transparent sea squirt), 82 nucleotides long. NCBI's taxonomy places the organism in Eukaryota, Metazoa, Chordata, Ascidiacea, Phlebobranchia, Cionidae. The record is from Rfam.
GGUUACGUGGCCGAGCGGUCUAAGGCGCUGGUUUUAGGCACCAGUCAUUUCGAUGGCUUGGGUUCGAAUCCCACCGCUGCCA